CAGCAGCCGCGGUAAUACGUAGGGUGCAAGCGUUAAUCGGAAUUACUGGGCGUAAAGCGUGCGCAGGCGGUUAUAUAAGACAGAUGUGAAAUCCCCGGGCUCAACCUGGGAACUGCAUUUGUGACUGUAUAGCUAGAGUACGGCAGAGGGGGAUGGAAUUCCGCGUGUAGCAGUGAAAUGCGUAGAUAUGCGGAGGAACACCGAUGGCGAAGGCAAUCCCCUGGGCCUGUACUGUCGCUCAUGCACGAAAGCGUGGGGAGCAAACAGGAUUAGAUACCCCCGUAGUCCCUGUCUCUUAUAC
Molecule: ribosomal RNA, 301 nt
Filed under: uncultured bacterium
Lineage: Bacteria
Description: partial 16S ribosomal RNA
Rfam family: Bacterial small subunit ribosomal RNA
Source: RNAcentral